This 274-nucleotide unclassified non-coding RNA is filed under the name uncultured Glomeraceae. RNAcentral's name for it is "sequence contains 5.8S rRNA gene, ITS2, 28S rRNA gene". The record is from RNAcentral. Lineage: Eukaryota; Fungi; Glomeromycota; Glomeromycetes; Glomerales; Glomeraceae.
AACGCAAAUUGCACUCUUCGGUCUUCCGGGGAGUAUGCCUGUUUGAGGGUCGGUAAAAUGAAACAUCGAUUUGUUGCUUGUUUGCAACAUUUCGGAGUUGGGUUAACUUUUGAUAUUCUCAAGUGACCUAAAAUUCAUUACCUCGGUAUGAUUAACGUUCUUAAAUGAUUUCGUUCUGAGUGCCGAAUUUAUUAGACGUGACUAUCUUAUAGCAUCACUUCUAUAAUUUUUGAAUUUCGACCUCAAAUCAAGCAAGAUUACCCGCUGAACUUAA